RNAcentral lists this ribosomal RNA (1439 nucleotides) under uncultured organism. RNAcentral's name for it is "bacterial SSU rRNA". It matches the Rfam family "Bacterial small subunit ribosomal RNA". The record is from RNAcentral.
GGCUCAGAAUGAACGCUGGCGGCGUGCUUAACACAUGCAAGUCGAACGAGAAAGGGAUUGCUUGCAAUCCUGAGUAGAGUGGCGCACGGGUGAGUAACACGUAGAUAAUCUGCCUUCAAGUCCGGGAUAACCAAUCGAAAGGUUGGCUAAUACCGGAUGAAGUGUUUUUGCGCAGGUAAAAACAUGAAAGAUAGCCUCUUCUUGAAAGCUAUUGCUUGGGGAUGAGUCUGCGGACCAUUAGCUUGUUGGUGGGGUAACGGCCUACCAAGGCUGCGAUGGUUAGCUGGUCUGAGAGGAUGAUCAGCCACACUGGAACUGGAACACGGUCCAGACUCCUACGGGAGGCAGCAGUGAGGAAUUUUGCGCAAUGGGGGCAACCCUGACGCAGCAACGCCGCGUGAGUGAAGAAGGCCUUUGGGUCGUAAAGCUCUGUCAACUGGGAAGAAAUUGUCUGAUAUUAAUAGUGUCAGUCAUUGACGGUACCAGUGGAGGAAGCGCCGGCUAACUCCGUGCCAGCAGCCGCGGUAACACGGGGGGCGCAAGCGUUAUUCGGAAUUAUUGGGCGUAAAGGGCGCGCAGGCGGUCUUGUCAGUCAGGUGUGAAAGCCCGGGGCUCAACCCUGGAAGUGCAUUUGAAACAGCAAGACUUGAAUACUGGAGAGGAAAGCGGAAUUCCUGGUGUAGAGGUGAAAUUCGUAGAUAUCAGGAGGAACACCUAUGGCGAAGGCAGCUUUCUGGACAGAUAUUGACGCUGAGGCGCGAAGGCGUGGGUAGCGAACAGGAUUAGAUACCCUGGUAGUCCACGCAGUAAACGUUGUACACUCGGUGUAUCGGAUAUUCACAUCUGAUGUGCCUAAGUUAACGCAGCAAGUGUACCGCCUGGGAAGUACGGUCGCAAGACUAAAACUCAAAGGAAUUGACGGGGGCCCGCACAAGCGGUGGAGCAUGUGGUUUAAUUCGACGCAACGCGAAGAACCUGACAUGGGUUUGACAUCCUGUGAAUAUUGGGUAAUUCCAAUAGUGCCUUCGGGAGCACAGACACAGGUGCUGCAUGGCGGUCGUCAGCUCGUGUCUUGAGAUGUUUGGUUAAGUCCAGCAACGAGCGCUACCCUUAUGGUUACUAGUCAGCACAGAAUGGAGGGAACUCUAGCGAGACUGCCCCGGUCAACGGGGAGGAAGGUGGGGAUGACGUCCAGUCAGCAUGCCCCUUAUGUCCAGGGCUACACAGACGCUACAAUGGCUACUACAAUGGGCUGCCAAGCCGCGAGGUGGAGCGAAUCCCAUCAAAAAUAGUCUCAGUUCGGAUUGCAGGCUGAAAUUCGCCUGCAUGAAGUCGGAAUUGCUAGUAAUCGCGUAUCAGCAUGGCGCGGUGAAUACGUUCUCGGGUCUUGUACACACCGCCCGUCAGGGCACGGGAGUUGCUCUUGCUCGAAGUUCCCG